AGCGUUCCCAUUGGCCGGAGCCUACGCGCGUCACGGCGCUCGCCCCGCCCCCUCGCCUGUCCUCUGCCCGGCGCCCGAGAGGGGGCGGUCCCGCGGGCUGGGCGCAAGCGGGGUCCACCCCGCGAGCUCCGGAAAGGCAGCCGCCGGGGGCAGUGGAGCAGACCCGCGCCACCCGGGAGGAGGGGGUUGCAUCCCUCGGAUUGUGGCGGCGCGAACCGAAUCCGGACGGAGGCAGAUGUCAAGUGCUGGAACCUAGGCUGGGGGAUGCACGCUCCGGGCGCCCGGCGAGCCCUCUCCUCUUCGGCAAAGAGAAUGCUGCUCAGAAGUGCUCGUGUCCCCUCGCUCUAGGAGAGAUGACCAAACAGGUGGGCUCGCCGGGGAAAGACUGCGUUAAGCUGUCGACUUGAAGUAAAAAGACCUGUUAUCCAUUAAGUGUCCCUUUCAUGGAUGAAGAGGAAAAACAAACUCAUUUGACUGCUAAUUUGGUGGUUUUUGCCUACAAUGAAUGAGCUUCCUGGAAACUAUGUGGCUAAACCAUCUGGAGAAGAUGUGAAAAAAUAAACUACAGUUUACUAAGACAAAAUUACUUUAAUUCUUUUUCAAAUAAACCAUAAAACUUG
Long non-coding RNA from Acinonyx jubatus (cheetah), 620 nucleotides. RefSeq lists it as uncharacterized. The transcript is spliced from 2 exons. The record is from RefSeq and is a predicted model, not a curated record. NCBI's taxonomy places the organism in Eukaryota, Metazoa, Chordata, Mammalia, Carnivora, Felidae.